Molecule: long non-coding RNA, 825 nt
Organism: Lycium barbarum (goji berry)
Lineage: Eukaryota; Viridiplantae; Streptophyta; Magnoliopsida; Solanales; Solanaceae
Exons: 2
Source: RefSeq, a predicted model, not a curated record
UUAUUUUGGCUACGUGGACAUGGCAUGUUCAAUCCAAGUGUCUUAUGCUUUAACAGACCAGAACACGAGUCACACACGUCACUUUCUUGUUGUUUCAAUUCAACCAAAGAAGCCUCCAACUCUCUACAUCGAGAAUUCUCUUCCAAAUCUGUCUUUUGGAUUUCUAUACAUGUGGAUUUACCGUGAAUCUUCCUUCAAGUCAGUGGUUUCACUUGGGUUUCUAUACAAGUGGGUCUUCUUCUUGCCAUUGUUUAUUUUUUCUAUUUCUUUUCUAUAUGUACCUCAAUCUUUUUUCUUUUCAAUUUUCAAAUUACUAUUUGAUUUUGAUUUCAAAUGCCUAUUGCUCUUUCUUGGUGUUGCACUCCGAUUAUGCUGGGUAAUGCCGGAUUGUUACUUAAUGAUUCCCACAGUAUCGAAGUAUAUUCAUAGGCUUUCAACUUGCUCGACACUAUAGGUUUCUCCGGCAAAUUCCUGUUAAAGUCAAGUUGGGAGUUUGCUCCCGCACAAUUCUCAAUUCCCAAAAAAUAGCCAAUUUAUAUGCUGCCUUUGUGUUGUUUCUUGAUGAAAGAGAACUCAUAAGAGUGAGAGGAAGAGAAGAUAAGUAGCACUUGGAACAAAAAAAAAGUAAGGUACUUUUUGCCAAAAGCUACUAAGAAGCAGCAAGAAUGUAAAAUACAGGACAGAAAAUGCACCACCGUCUCCAUGAUGUAGAUAGUAUAGCGUGUAAAUAGUUUUUCCAUAUAUGAUGUAAAUAAUGCAGCCAUAAACAAUGCAACACUUCCAAUCAUAAUAUCCAUGAAUGGAUACUUCAACUUAAAAGUGUCA